GAUGAAGAACGUAGCGAAAUGCGAUAAUUAAUGUGAAUUGCAGAAUUCCGUGAAUCAUCGAGUCUUUGAACGCACAUUGCGCCUCAUGGCAUUCCGUGAGGCAUGCCCAUCUCAGCGUUAGAAAAUAUUCUCAAAUUUUAGUUUUGUGCUAAAAUUUGGAUCAUGUCAAGGAAGCUAUUACUAUUAUUGUGAUCGCUCUUUGGAAAUUGAUAGGUCUUUGAGUUGCUACUCAUAGAACGUGAUGAAUCUUUCUUCGUUCUAUUGUAAUUCACUCUGGUAGUCCUAAAACUUGUAUGCCUGUGGCAUAUCUUGUAAUUUGACCUGAGAUUGGGUAGGGAUACCCGCUGACCUUAUGCAUAUCAAUAAGCGGAGGA
This 374-nucleotide unclassified non-coding RNA is filed under the name soil metagenome. RNAcentral's name for it is "partial internal transcribed spacer 1". The stretch from base 1 to 120 matches the Rfam family "5.8S ribosomal RNA", at positions 35 to 154 of the family's 154-position model. The record is from RNAcentral.